CAGCACAGUAAGAGCUUGCCCUUAUGGGUGGCGAGUGGCGGACGGGUGAGGAAUACAUCGGAAUCUACUUUUUCGUGGGGGAUAACGUAGGGAAACUUACGCUAAUACCGCAUACGACCUACGGGUGAAAGCAGGGGAUCUUCGGACCUUGCGCGAUUGAAUGAGCCGAUGUCGGAUUAGCUAGUUGGCGGGGUAAAGGCCCACCAAGGCGACGAUCCGUAGCUGGUCUGAGAGGAUGAUCAGCCACACUGGAACUGAGACACGGUCCAGACUCCUACGGGAGGCAGCAGUGGGGAAUAUUGGACAAUGGGCGCAAGCCUGAUCCAGCCAUACCGCGUGGGUGAAGAAGGCCUU
Molecule: ribosomal RNA, 354 nt
Filed under: bacterium enrichment culture DGGE band 4(2011)
Lineage: Bacteria
Description: bacterial SSU rRNA
Rfam family: Bacterial small subunit ribosomal RNA
Source: RNAcentral